Molecule: signal recognition particle RNA, 101 nt
Filed under: Allomeiothermus silvanus
Lineage: Bacteria; Thermotogati; Deinococcota; Deinococci; Thermales; Thermaceae
Also listed under: 2 other names
Description: Meiothermus silvanus signal recognition particle sRNA small type
Rfam family: Bacterial small signal recognition particle RNA
About the family: The signal recognition particle (SRP) is a universally conserved ribonucleoprotein involved in the co-translational targeting of proteins to membranes.
Source: RNAcentral
UCCUCGGUCUGACGCGGCGUUCCAGCAUGAACCGGGUCAGGGCCGGAAGGCAGCAGCCCUAAGUGCCUUAGGAGCGGGUGCCGUCAGGGAGCCGGGGACGC